GAUGAACGCUAGCGGCAGGCCUAACACAUGCAAGUCGAGGGGCAGCAUAUCCAGCUUGCUGGAUGAUGGCGACCGGCGCACGGGUGCGCAACGCGUAUGGAACCUGCCCUUUACCGGGGAAUAGCCCAGAGAAAUUUGGAUUAAUGCCCCAUGGUAUGUACUGCCGGCAUCGGCAGUAUAUUAAAGGUUACGGUAAGGGAUGGCCAUGCGUACCAUUAGCUAGUUGGCGGGGUAACGGCCCACCAAGGCGACGAUGGUUAGGGGCCCUGAGAGGGGGAUCCCCCACACUGGUACUGAGACACGGACCAGACUCCUACGGGAGGCAGCAGUGAGGAAUAUUGGACAAUGGGCGGAAGCCUGAUCCAGCCAUGCCGCGUGCAGGAAGACUGCCCUAUGGGUUGUAAACUGCUUUUAUACGGGAAGAACAACCGCCACGUGUGGCGCUCUGACGGUACCGUAAGAAUAAGGACCGGCUAACUCCG
Molecule: ribosomal RNA, 482 nt
Filed under: uncultured Flavobacteriaceae bacterium
Lineage: Bacteria; Pseudomonadati; Bacteroidota; Flavobacteriia; Flavobacteriales; Flavobacteriaceae
Description: bacterial SSU rRNA
Rfam family: Bacterial small subunit ribosomal RNA
Source: RNAcentral